GCCUGUUUAACAAAAACAUUGUCUUUUGUAUUAAGUAGAAGGUAAUUUCUGCCCACUGCGAUUUAUUGUAAAGGGCUGCAGUAUUUUGACUGUAUAAAGGUAGCAUAAUCAUUAGUUUUUUAAUUGGGAGCUGGUAUGAACGGAGAAACAAGGAAAAGGUGUAUUAUUUGGAGAUAUUGAAUUUUAUUUUUUUGUGAAAAAUCAAAAUUUAGUGCUAAAGGACAAGAAGACCCUAUUAAGUUUAAUUGACAGCAGUAAAAAGCAUAAAGGAACAAGAAAGAUGUCGAAAGAAUUAGUGUAAUUUAUGGUUGUAGGGUUAAUUGGGGCGAUGGAUUUUAAACAGUAUCUUACUUUUAAUUUUUGUGUGACGGGCAUGAGGACCUAGGGGUUUUAGAUGAAUGAAUAAUUACUUUAGGGAUAACAGCGUUAUCAUUCUUAAGAGUUCUAAUCGACGGAGUGGUUUGCGACCUCGAUGUUGGAUUAUGAUUAGCGUUGGCGCAGUAGUCGGCGGGUUUUGGUCUGUUCGACCAGUAGAAUCAUACGUGAUCUGAGUUCAGACC
This 560-nucleotide ribosomal RNA is filed under the name Pogonosternum laetificum. Its description in RNAcentral is "LSU rRNA". It matches the Rfam family "Archaeal large subunit ribosomal RNA", at positions 1890 to 2686 of the family's 2987-position model. The record is from RNAcentral. Lineage: Eukaryota; Metazoa; Arthropoda; Diplopoda; Polydesmida; Paradoxosomatidae.